Non-coding RNA from Klebsiella pneumoniae ISC21, 2893 nucleotides. The record is from Rfam. NCBI's taxonomy places the organism in Bacteria, Pseudomonadati, Pseudomonadota, Gammaproteobacteria, Enterobacterales, Enterobacteriaceae.
GGUUAAGCGACUAAGCGUACACGGUGGAUGCCCUGGCAGUCAGAGGCGAUGAAGGACGUGCUAAUCUGCGAAAAGCGUCGGUAAGGUGAUAUGAACCGUUAUAACCGGCGAUGUCCGAAUGGGGAAACCCAGUGCAAUUCGUUGCACUAUCGUUAACUGAAUACAUAGGUUAACGAGGCGAACCGGGGGAACUGAAACAUCUAAGUACCCCGAGGAAAAGAAAUCAACCGAGAUUCCCCCAGUAGCGGCGAGCGAACGGGGAGCAGCCCAGAGUCUGAAUCAGCUUGUGUGUUAGUGGAACGGUCUGGAAAGUCCGACGGUACAGGGUGAUAGUCCCGUACACCAAAAUGCACAGGCUGUGAACUCGAAGAGUAGGGCGGGACACGUGGUAUCCUGUCUGAAUAUGGGGGGACCAUCCUCCAAGGCUAAAUACUCCUGACUGACCGAUAGUGAACCAGUACCGUGAGGGAAAGGCGAAAAAGAACCCCGGCGAGGGGAGUGAAAAAAGAACCUGAAACCGUGUACGUACAAGCAGUGGGAGCACCUUCGGGUGUGACUGCGUACCUUUUGUAUAAUGGGUCAGCGACUUAUAUUCUGUAGCAAGGUUAACCGUAUAGGGGAGCCGCAGGGAAACCGAGUCUUAACUGGGCGUUAAGUUGCAGGGUAUAGACCCGAAACCCGGUGAUCUAGCCAUGGGCAGGUUGAAGGUUGGGUAACACUAACUGGAGGACCGAACCGACUAAUGUUGAAAAAUUAGCGGAUGACUUGUGGCUGGGGGUGAAAGGCCAAUCAAACCGGGAGAUAGCUGGUUCUCCCCGAAAGCUAUUUAGGUAGCGCCUCGUGAAUUCAUCUUCGGGGGUAGAGCACUGUUUCGGCUAGGGGGUCAUCCCGACUUACCAACCCGAUGCAAACUACGAAUACCGAAGAAUGUUAUCACGGGAGACACACGGCGGGUGCUAACGUCCGUCGUGAAGAGGGAAACAACCCAGACCGCCAGCUAAGGUCCCAAAGUCAUGGUUAAGUGGGAAACGAUGUGGGAAGGCACAGACAGCCAGGAUGUUGGCUUAGAAGCAGCCAUCAUUUAAAGAAAGCGUAAUAGCUCACUGGUCGAGUCGGCCUGCGCGGAAGAUGUAACGGGGCUAAACCAUGCACCGAAGCUGCGGCAGCGACACUAUGUGUUGUUGGGUAGGGGAGCGUUCUGUAAGCCUGCGAAGGUGUGCUGUGAGGCAUGCUGGAGGUAUCAGAAGUGCGAAUGCUGACAUAAGUAACGAUAAAGCGGGUGAAAAGCCCGCUCGCCGGAAGACCAAGGGUUCCUGUCCAACGUUAAUCGGGGCAGGGUGAGUCGACCCCUAAGGCGAGGCCGAAAGGCGUAGUCGAUGGGAAACAGGUUAAUAUUCCUGUACUUGGUGUUACUGCGAAGGGGGGACGGAGAAGGCUAUGUUAGCCGGGCGACGGUUGUCCCGGUUUAAGCAUGUAGGCUGGUUGUCCAGGCAAAUCCGGAUAAUCAAGGCUGAGGUGUGAUGACGAGGCACUACGGUGCUGAAGUAACAAAUGCCCUGCUUCCAGGAAAAGCCUCUAAGCAUCAGGUAACAUCAAAUCGUACCCCAAACCGACACAGGUGGUCAGGUAGAGAAUACCAAGGCGCUUGAGAGAACUCGGGUGAAGGAACUAGGCAAAAUGGUGCCGUAACUUCGGGAGAAGGCACGCUGGUGUGUAGGUGAAGCCCCUGCGGGUGGAGCUGAGACCAGUCGAAGAUACCAGCUGGCUGCAACUGUUUAUUAAAAACACAGCACUGUGCAAACACGAAAGUGGACGUAUACGGUGUGACGCCUGCCCGGUGCCGGAAGGUUAAUUGAUGGGGUUAUCCGUAAGGAGAAGCUCUUGAUCGAAGCCCCGGUAAACGGCGGCCGUAACUAUAACGGUCCUAAGGUAGCGAAAUUCCUUGUCGGGUAAGUUCCGACCUGCACGAAUGGCGUAAUGAUGGCCAGGCUGUCUCCACCCGAGACUCAGUGAAAUUGAACUCGCUGUGAAGAUGCAGUGUACCCGCGGCAAGACGGAAAGACCCCGUGAACCUUUACUAUAGCUUGACACUGAACAUUGAGCCUUGAUGUGUAGGAUAGGUGGGAGGCUUUGAAGCGUGGACGCCAGUCUGCGUGGAGCCAACCUUGAAAUACCACCCUUUAAUGUUUGAUGUUCUAACGUUGGCCCCUGACCGGGGUUGCGGACAGUGUCUGGUGGGUAGUUUGACUGGGGCGGUCUCCUCCCAAAGCGUAACGGAGGAGCACGAAGGUUAGCUAAUCCUGGUCGGACAUCAGGAGGUUAGUGCAAUGGCAUAAGCUAGCUUGACUGCGAGCGUGACGGCGCGAGCAGGUGCGAAAGCAGGUCAUAGUGAUCCGGUGGUUCUGAAUGGAAGGGCCAUCGCUCAACGGAUAAAAGGUACUCCGGGGAUAACAGGCUGAUACCGCCCAAGAGUUCAUAUCGACGGCGGUGUUUGGCACCUCGAUGUCGGCUCAUCACAUCCUGGGGCUGAAGUAGGUCCCAAGGGUAUGGCUGUUCGCCAUUUAAAGUGGUACGCGAGCUGGGUUUAGAACGUCGUGAGACAGUUCGGUCCCUAUCUGCCGUGGGCGCUGGAGAAUUGAGGGGGGCUGCUCCUAGUACGAGAGGACCGGAGUGGACGCAUCACUGGUGUUCGGGUUGUCAUGCCAAUGGCACUGCCCGGUAGCUAAAUGCGGAAGAGAUAAGUGCUGAAAGCAUCUAAGCACGAAACUUGCCCCGAGAUGAGUUCUCCCUGAGACUUUAAGUCUCCUGAAGGAACGUUAAAGACGAUGACGUUGAUAGGCCGGGUGUGUAAGCGCAGCGAUGCGUUGAGCUAACCGGUACUAAUGAACCGUGA